UGAUGAAAUGAUGGCAGUCAUCUUUUGAGAAUGAUCUGAAAUGAAGAGAAUACUCAUUGCUGAUCACUU
Aotus nancymaae (Ma's night monkey) is the source of this 69-nucleotide small nucleolar RNA. Lineage: Eukaryota; Metazoa; Chordata; Mammalia; Primates; Aotidae. The record is from Ensembl.